GAAGCGCCGGUGUUGAGACCGAAAAUGUAAGGUUUUCUCUUAUUCUCACCAUCUUUUAUAUAUAUCACUUGACGUGUAUAUCAAGCUAAUAUGUUAUGAGAUGUGGCUUGUGAAUGCAAACUAGGGUUCUUCUUUCUUGGUUCUUGUGGGUUUUGUUUAAUGUAUGUUCUUUGUGAGAUGGCCGCGUUAGAACAUGUUACGCGGCCAACAAAGAGGUUAAAGUGGGUCGGGUUGAUCAGAUAUGUCUUGUUUAUUACGCUCUUUCUCUAGUUAGGUUUUGCCCAACCCGACCAGAGAUAAACUUUUAGGAGACUCGAGGUGCUUUAAUGGAGGAUAGUAAGUUAGUUUCCACCACUGAUAUAUGCAAUGGAUAGAGUCCAAAAGCUAUUUUCCUCCAUUGUUUUAAUUAGAGACUUCUUUGUUUAGAUCAAUGACCAUACCAAUAAAAGAGUUUUAGACGUAAUCUUAGUAUAUCUCAAUCAUGUCAAACUUUCAAAACUUUUUUACAAUUUUUGAAACAAUAUGGUAUGUGAGUUUCUAUUUUUAAAUAUUGAAUUCAUGCUGUAAUCUUUUUAAUAUCUCUAACCAUAUGCUAAACAUAGCUGUUCAAGUAAUCUUUUCCUCCAUGUAUUCUCUUACUACUUCUGCUUCUCUUUCAGACAGAACAACAAAGAACGAGAAAACACCAACAUCAGUGACCUCAUUGCGUAGAAGACAAGCCAGACAAAACGAUAAAAUAGAAAGCGAAGAAGAGCCUUUACUCAAAGCUGCAUUCAUCUUUUCCUCUUUAUUUGUGCUUAGAUACUUAUAGAAUAUCUUUUUUUUGUCAAAACUUAUAGAAUAUCUAUGUAAUGGAAUUGCUGUAAAUUCCUAAUAAGAAUCGGAUCCAAAGAAUAUUAGGAUGUUCUGUCUACUCAAGCUGAAUAUUAACCUGUUAUGUGAUACUCCAAGGAAUAUGAUGUAAAGGUUUAGCAUGGUAAGUAUUUGGUUACCACUUUUGAAUAGGAAGGAAUCUUGAUAAAAGAUAACCCAUCCAGGUUUAAAAAAGAAAAUGCAAUAAGAUACUUUUGUUCUAUAAUAGCCUCAUAUUUGAACCACCUACUCAUUUAUAAAUACAGAAACUCUUCAUCAUGUGGCUAAAAGUAUUUACUAGACUUAUCAUUGUGAUGAUCACCAAACAAGAACAAGAAAAAACUGUAAAAAAAAAAACAAUAGAAUUGAAAUAUAAAUAUAUACCGUUACACAUUAAAUACAAAAACUCCUAAGCAUUGGACUAAUCAUUGUGAUAAUCAUAAAACAAGAACAAGAAAAAAGCAGUAAGAAACAAAAAUAAUAAUAAUGGAGACGUGUUGAAAUCUGUACCGUUACUUUGCUUUAAAUUUUUAAUUUUAAAUGAAUAAAGCAGGUGUGAACCUUACAGAGUGCUCUGUGUUUGACUCUGAGACCGCGAUGACCACCUCUCUGCUCUAAUGUCUUUACUGUAAUUACUAAUUAUAUAAAAUUUGUUUACACAACUUUAGCUUUUGUCUGUUUGAAGAUUAUGAUCUUUUUGUGUAUUUUAAAAUGUGUGUAAUGGGUGUGGUGGUGGAGGGAAUUUUUAAGUAAAAAGAAAAGUCCAACUCUACCCCACCCACAAAGUGGAGAAAGCAAAAGUCAUAACCUUUGACACCUUUCUCAACCCAUCUCUAUCUAUCUCACAAACCAACAAACAACACAGGAACAAUAUCUCUCUUUUAUUUUAAUGUCCUAAUCUCCCCUGGGUGAUUUCUUCUUAGCUCAUUAUCUAAUUUUGAUCUUCAGGGUUUCUUGUCAUGCAAUUCUUUGUGUAGUUUUCCUUCUUAUGAGCUAACCUUGUAUAGACAAAAGAUCUCACCUUUUUGCUCUUGAAUUGAGAGAGUUUCUAUAUUUACUCAGUGCUCUUCCUGUGAAGUGAUUUGGAAAGAUUCAGCCAGUUGAGGAAGGAACUUAUGGUGAUUGGGGUUUCUCAUAGAGUGUUGAGGUGUUGAAGUUCUUGAUUUGGUCUAAUUAGCUUUAAAUGUUACAUUCUUUUUCAUGACUGAUCGGUUUAUUAGAUUCAUUAGGAUUUUGAGUUUUGAUAUUUUAUUCUCUUGGCUCUCUAGUUAGAUUUUUAGUGUUGUGAACUGAGGAAUCAGGGUUUUAUUGUUCUAUCAUCUUAAGCUUGGGUGGAAUAAUAUAAAAUAAAAAUGGAGGAAGUUGAAGCUGCUAGCAAGUUAGCUAUAGAAAGCUGUCAUGGAGUCUUAACCCUCUUGUCACAACAGCAAACCAGUUGUGAUUCCAAAUCUCUAAUGGUUGAAACAAGAGAAGUAGUUUCCAAGCUCAAGAGAGUAGCCUCUCUUUUAACCAAAGGGUCAGGUCAUGGAAAGUUUAGAAGAACCAACAACAACAAGUUUAGUCCAUCUUUUCCUCAGCAUAUCUUCUUGGAGAGCCCUAUUUGCUGUGGCAAUGAUGAGAGUAGUGAUUACACUCAAGUUCUUGCACCUGAGCCUCUUCAGAUGGUUCCAGCUUCUGAUGAGAUUGACCCAAGAUACCAAUUGGGUCACCCACUUAGCCACAGAUGGCCACCGCCUUUUCGAGCUCCUUAUCAGAAAAUAGCUUACUCUAGAAGCAACAGCGGUGGUGUAAACCUAACGUUUGAUGGGUCUGCUAGUAGUUGCUAUACCCCGAGUGUAUCAAACGGAUCAAGAUCUUUUGUAUCAUCUCUUAGUAUGGAUACUAGUGUCGAUAGGAGCUCGUUCCAGUUAACCGGAUUAUCACGUGGGAAGAUGUGCUCUGGUAGUUUGAAAUGCGGAAGUAGAAGCAAAUGUCACUGUUCCAAGAAGAGGUUCGUCAAUGUUCUUUGUGACAAUGUGAUAUCAGUUAACUGUUUUGUAACGGUUUUGAGUUUAUUUACAGGAAACUAAGAGUGAAAAGAUCAAUCAAGGUGCCUGCAAUAAGCAACAAGAUUGCGGAUAUUCCUCCAGACGAGUAUUCAUGGAGGAAGUAUGGUCAGAAACCUAUCAAAGGCUCACCGCAUCCACGGUAUUUAUAUAUAUUCAUCUUUUUUUUUGGUGUCUAUAUACUCAUUUGAUUCAUGUGCAGGGGAUACUACAAGUGCAGCAGUGUGAGAGGUUGUCCUGCAAGGAAGCAUGUGGAGCGAUGUGUAGAUGAGACUUCGAUGUUAAUUGUGACUUACGAAGGUGAGCAUAACCAUUCAAGGAUAUUGUCUUCGCAAUCAGCUCACACAUGAUGGAAUCAGAGUCAGUCACUGCCUGUCCUUUUUGCUGUCUACUCUUGGAUUUGAAGAAGAAUGAUUUUGGAUUCAAGAAACUGGUCUUAGUAGUGUUGUUAGCUGUGGUUUGCAAUUGUAUAUUCCACUUUGACAUGAGUUGUAAGAGCUUUUUGUGAACUUGGAUUAUGUGGCAAUACCGACAAGCAUCAACAAUUUGGCUUCAGCUUAGCAUUUUCUUACUUAACCAAAUAAGCUUAAUUUUUAGUAUAGGUAGGAGGUGGUUGUUGGAGAUAAUCACAAAGUUAACUUGGCGAACAAGUUACACUAAUCCUAAUCGAGAUAUGUUUAGGAUAGUUAGUUUUUAUGAGUUUAGGAAAUUUAAAGUCUCUAUACAAGAAGAUGCAAGAGUUUUAGAGAUUGUGUUUUGGAGUGAUUAAGUUUUGAGUUAUUUUCUUAAGCUAAUAAAAAGAGUUCUUUAUUGUGAUCAUAUACAAUUUUUGAGACUAUAUUUGGUAUCAGAGUGCAAGAUAAGUUAAAAGCCUUACGAUGGGAGGAUCUUUGUGUCCGCAUAAUGUUCGCUGUUAGGAGGAGACGAGUGUGUGCAAGUUUGGGACCUUGAGUAGUAGCUUGGUAAACAACACACAUGAUAGCUUGCUCCUGUUUAAUCUCAAAAGCUGUCAAGUACAAAGAAGGGCUCUUCAUCAGAUUACUUCUUCUUUAACGUUUUGUGUCUGUGGUUAGAGAGAUUACAUGUAUUGUUCACAUAAUAGCCUAAAUUAUGUAAGAGUUGAAGCUGGACACUUCAUCUGUAACAAACGACAAGUUUUUUUCUCAUUUAAAAAAAAAGUUGUUACGACUUGAGGAAUUAACAAUGAACAGCCAAAGACAUGUCCCAAAAUAUCCAAGUUCCAUGUUCUGCAACAAGAAGGCCAUUCAUUUUAAGACAAACCAUUACAUACUACAAGAACACUUGGACUCACAAAAUGAAGACCAAACUUUGCUUUGUCAUUCCGUUUCUAACUCUCAUUGCGUUUCCUCUGGUGUGAUCACGAGCUUAUAUGAUUUUUUUUUUUUUUUCACUCCGUCUUCAGAGGUUGGAGAGAUUAAGAAGACCGAGUGAUUAAAGAAGGCCCACGGUUUAGGUUGUGAAUUUUGGAUGGAGGGCGGCUAAGAUAAGAUAACUUAAUUUAAAGAAACUAUCUCUAAGAAACUCGUUAAACUACGAUUAUACCCUUUUCAUUACAACCUGUAUAAAUUAAGAAGAAACACGGAACUGACAGAAAAGCAAAGAGACAGCAAUUAUGGGUUGUCGGAAAGCAUUUUUGCUUCUAUACUUUCUAUUUUUAGUCCAUAUCCACCACAACCACUCUUUUCACGCGAUCUCCGCUGCUCCAAACCAUGAAUCGAAGCCGGACGGUGAAGCUUUCAUUGGCAAAACCGCGGAAUUAUCUAUCGUUGUUAAAAAGGGUGGUGGAGGCGGCAGAGGCGGCGGAGGUGGUGGUGGACGUAGUUUUGGUGGAGGCGGACGCAGUUUCGGUGGAGGUGGAGGUGGAGGCCGCAAAGGUGGAAGAGGAGUGGUUCCGUUAGUUGGAGGUGGUGCUGCUGCUUCCCACCACCGUGGCAACCAUUCAAGCGGUGGUCGGGAAAGUGCUAGCGUUUGGUUUGGUUUAUUGACUUUACUCGGUUUGGUUUUGGGUUUUUAGGGUUUACUUAUUUUGAUUGCCGGUUUAGGUUAAAUGUUUGAUGUCGGUUUUGCUUGCUACUGGUUUGCUCUCUGGAUAUAAACACCACUCGGUUUGGUUUUGGUUUUUAGGAUUUUUUUUUUUAAUUUUGAUUGCCGGUUUAGGGUUAAAUGUUUGGUGCCGGUUUUGCUUUCCACUGUGGUUUGCUCUUUGGAUAAAAUUUCUCUUAACCGGAACUUAAUCCAUCAAUAAUCGAUUGUAAAAUAUUUUGUUUGAUUACACAUCCAAAAAAGCUCAAAAUGAUACAAAUUUUCAACAUUAGGAGUUUUCUUCAACAAUCAACAUCAAAGUUUCACGUUACAAAUAAAAAACCGAGAAAGACGGUUACAUUGUGAACCAACCAACAUAUACCGGAUAUAACCGAAAAAAACAAAGAGUCUUUGUUUUGAAUUUUAAAUUUUCUCCAGUGAGAUAUCAAAGUUAAACACAGACCAACAACAACACAAAGGCAUCAAUCAUCGUCAUUUCAAGCCUCGCAAGCUUCUUCCACGGACUCGUUGAGUGGUUUAAGCCCACUUUUACCCUUGCCUGAUCUGGAACGAGGGCUGUCGUGCACAUCAUUGGUGUUCUUGUUCUGAACUGUUCCCGUGCUGUGUCGGUUCCGGUUAGAUGCUGUCUUCGGAACCUCUUCACGGGACGAGGACGAGCUGACUGCGUCGCUGCAGCUCUUUCUCCGAGAAAGGAUGAGUUUUGGCGACUUGGGACGAGUCAAAGGCACCUAGAAAGAUACAUAACAUUAAGCUACAUUCGUCACAAGAACAAAGAUACAUAACAUAAGCUACUUUUGUCACAAGAACAAUGCUGAGCUCCAAACAUGACGAGUUAAAUAUACCUUCUUGAGUUCAGGUUUGGCAGGAGGCGCCUCGUAGUAGAAGUUGGGGACUGGUUUAGCCUUGAACUUGAGAUUUUUUCUAAGUUUUUUCAAGGCUGCUUCUUGUUCUUCCUGCAAAAAACAUUGAAUUUACCAUUUAGAUUUAGAAAAGACUGCAUCAACUAUAUGGAUUUUUACCUUUUGCCUUUGUUCAAGCUCGUUCCUUUCAGCUUCAAGCGCUUGGUUUUUCUCCUCAAGCUUUUGGUAAUACUAAACCACACAAGAAAAGAUCAAUUAAUAAACAUUAAAAAGUAGACUUUAUAUCAGUGAGUGCAAAGGUGGAAGAUUUAUAGUUACCUCUUUGCGCUGCUCAGCACGCUGAGCACUCCUAAACGUUGGAGCGCUUCCAUGAGUCACUCCGGACUUAGCCCUCCUCAAGGAAGUUGCCACGCUGUUAGUUAAUAUCGUUAAGGAACAUUAUCGAUUUUGUCAAGUAUACAUACAAAGACAAGAUAAUGAUUAAGUGAUAGAGUCAAGUAAAGGAUACGAAGAAGCAAUGGAGACAUUAUCAUCUUCAUCUACAUGCUUCUUGUUCUCUGGUUGCAAGGGCUUCCUCACGGGGAGAAGAGGAGCAUCACGCUGCAGAUAGAACAUUGAACAAACAGGUAAAGUCACAUCAUUUACACAUCUCAAACUACUUACAAAACAUAACGUUUGUCUUAAUUCUGAAAUGAGUUUUUACCUUUGAAACUUUAGGAGUUUUAGGCGAGCUUUGAGCUCCAGUUCUCUCGGCAGUUUCCACUUUUGGUUUAUUCUCUUCGGUGCAUUCCUUGACUUCGAUCUCUUCCUCAGUCUCAGACUCCGCAGCUGCAGCUAUCUUAGGAGCAACGUGAACCCUACCGCUUGAAACGCCGGCGUUUCGGUCCAUAAGCACCUCAACAACAACCUCUCUUCCCAUUCCACUACGGAACACAAAACCAAAGAGUCUCUCUUUUAGACAGAUUCUCAAAAACACAAUUCAAUUAUGAAAGAUCUCAAUCUUUAUAAAGGUUACAGCUUUGUCAAAGUUAGAUUGGUAAGGAACAAGGAUUGGUUCAAAGAGAUAGAGAGAGGGUCGCAGAAGAACAAUUCAAAAGUGGAAACCAACACGCAUUAACAAACCCAGAUGGAGAAAUAGUCAAAAAGAAAUAUUUUUAAAAUGUGAAUUUGAAAUCCAGGCGAUAGAGGAGGAGAUUCUUAAGGUUUUGUGAACAAUUUUAUAGAAAAGAAUCAGACUUUCAAGGAAGAACAGGGUGACAAAAAAAAUUGUGUUCUUACGAGUCUUGUAUAGGACCGGGGAGGGAUUCUUGUGCACCACCUCUGUCUCCGAACGCCCGUGAGAAUUUUGCAGACAAAAUUUGAAAUGAAUGUCUUUAUCCAGACCAAACUUGUCUCCCUCUCUUUCUCUCUCAAGAAAAAGAAGAAUUUUUAUUGGGUGGUGACUAUUUUGGAGAUGUGUUUGAUUUGUUAAGCUGUUUGGUUAUUUAUUGGUUCGAAAUUCAUUUAUUUUUAUUAUAAAAAAAUGAAUUUUGGCGCUUUACAUCACUUUGAUAAUUAGUUUCUAUAUACUCCAUAAGAUUCAUUCAUUUUCAUGCCAAUAUUUGAAGAAAUAUAUAUUCACCCUAAAUAUUGAAAAGCUCUUAGUUUAUUGAAAUAAAUAAAUAAAACCUACCUCUGUUGAUUAGUUUCAUUUUUUUUAAAUGUAUAGUUAGUAGUAGUAUACACAUUCUCUAUACUUAUCUUGAUAUAAAAGUUUAAUUACUAUAUUAUUUCUUUAAUUUCUUAAGUUUAAUUUUCUUUUAAGGAUAUCUAAUAAAGUUGUGACUUGACAAAAAUAAAAAUUGAUGACUAAUUGUCUAGAAGUAUAUUUACUAAAUCUAAAUAAUUAUCCUAAUCUAGAUGUACUAGCUUGAAUCCAGAUGUGUAGUCUUCUUAGUAAUCAGAUCCACUAUAAGCAACUUCUAACAACCAAAUGAAAAGGAAAUUCAAACUAAUCAUACAAUAACUAUCACGGCUUUGAAGCCACAAGACGGAAUAAAUACCAAUGUGACAAUGUUACUCGUUUAAAAAAAAUGUUUCCUGUCCUUCAGUUCAAACUUCAAGAGUAGUCCAUACUUUCCCUCGUUGCUUAGUUUAAAUUCUGCAGCUUUGUUAAAGUGCUGAGGUUGAAUACAGUAUGGCGUCUACCAUUGUACCUCGUAGACCAUACAAUUUGUUCUUAGACUUUUAGUAUACACAUGUAUGCGUAUACAUGUUCUUAUGAUCUAAUCAUUUCAAUUGUUUAUAACUCAUUUGGAAGCUAACAAUAUAUUAUAUAUGUAUAACAAUUCUGUAUAUUUGUUUCCUGGUUGUCAAUUCCAUAUCUUUGUAAUCUCUUUUCUAAAGCAAAUUACUUGAUACCACGCAUAUGAAGAGUGACCAACGAAACUGAAGUUUGUAACAGUAGUUUGUGAGAGUAGUAAUCUCUCUUCAAAAGCAAAUUACGUUCUUAAUGUAUUUUGCAGUGUUUGCCUUUUGUGAAAAAUAUGUUCUGUAAAAAAUAUGUUUUAUAAUCUAUUUCAAAGUUCAAACAAUGGACUUUUGAUUUCCGACAAAGUAGCUUUGAUGUAUCCGACAGAGACUAAAGUUAAUUUGAAUUAAUACUUAUUAUGUUGCUUCAAAUGCCAAAAAAAAAAAAAAACUUAUCUUUACUUUAUACUAAAUAACGAACAAAAAGAGUAGAGAAAAAUUUAGAAAAUGAUGCAAAUCUCAUUUUAAAAUCAUGUCAUAUCAAAUAAUAUGAAACAAACAAAAAACCACUAAAAUAUUUUGAAAACGGAUUAACAGUUGACUAACUUCAUUUAGUUUUUUUUUGUAACAAAUAAAAUUGUAAGAAGGAUGAGAAGAUGCGAAAAUUAAGUAAACAUCAAAGACCACUUUGUGCUAGGGAAGAAUCACUAAAGUGGGUAAGUAAGGAUGAGAAGAUGCGUCAAUGCGAUCAGAGGCAUUCACUAUCCACAUUAUCCAUAGUUCAUGCAUUUAACACAUAUAGAAGACUCACGGGUGAACCUGUAGUGUUAUUGGAGAGUGAAACAUCGAACAUGAUGAUUUCUCACUGGGUCCAGCACACACGAGGGUGCAUCUCUAUCUUUAUCUAGGGUUGGUGUUUUUCAGCCAACGUGGACCCGUUUAUUUCCUCGACCUCACCUUCACAGGAAUUUAUAUGAGGGAGGGAUAUCUCAGUAACGUUUUUCUUACGUAUUUGAUCAUUUAUUAGUAGAGUGUAAUCUAAAUUGAGUAAAAUAAGAGCUAAUUAAAAAUACUAUUACAUGCAUAUAGCGAGACAGUAUCCGUAUUCAAAUCAUUCUACAUGCUUUUUUGGCGACUUUUUGGUGAAAAUGUUAGUAACAAAUAAAUGUAAAAGUUAAAUUUAUUGCUAAACAAGCUUAAAAACCAUAAUAUUUUUGUACGAUAUAAAUUAGAGAAAAUUAUUGAUUUGGAUAAGAGAAGGAAUGGGUAUAUAUAGAUUGAAGAAGAAGAGAAAAAAAAAACGAUUUUUGAUGGAACUUAAACAAAUGAAACAAUCUAUUUUUGCGUUUGUUCCAUUUAUAUCAAUUAAAGUAAAAUUUAUUAUUUAUGUUUACUAUACAAAACUAUCAUUUAAUAGUAUUUAAUCAAUUUAGUUAUUUCAAUUAAGUUUUUAAAUUAUACAAAACUGUCUUAAAAAUAUUAAAAAUAUAUUUUUGUAGAACAAAUUUUUUUUAGAAAAUCUUACAUUUAAGAAUGGAGACAGAUCUAUUUUCACCACCAUUUUUCAAAAAAAAAAGUUUUAUUUUUAUUUUUAAACUAGUGUUUAAUUAUAUAUUUUUAGAAUCUGAGACUAGUGUUCUAAAAAUCGGUAUGGAUGGCGCAUAGGCAUCCCCUUAGUCAGCAAAUCAAACUUAAAUGUAAUGAUUUCUUAAAUGAUUUUUUUUUUAAAAUCAGUGUAAGUAUCCAUCUAAUCAGUAAUCUCAUACAAAAUAUUUAACUACCGCCUAACAAUUUCUUGAACAUUGGCCGAGAACAAUAACCCGAGCCACACAUUGUUAUAGAUUGUUUAUUAAGAAAAACUGAAAUCGAAAAUCCAUAUAGUUUAUGCAGACUAUAUGGCAAUGAAGAUCAACAUUUAUCAUUAGUUAAUUCAUUUUCAUCAAAGGUAGAACAAACAGAAAAAAUUUCAUCGAUUAUAAAAUUAAUUUUAUUGAUUGAUGCAGUUACAUGAAUUUAUUGAUGUAUUUUUUUUUUUUAGAUUUAGACAUGCAAUCGUCUAAUACAACUAGAUAUUGAUUGUUGGAGGACCUGGCGGAACAUGUCUACAUCUUCCCUCUGGGGGACAUCCCGGUUUGUACGGAUUUACUGGUUCCGGGGGUGGACACGUGCCAGGACUACAGCCAGGGGGACGAUCGCCACCACGUAUUGGUGGAUAUCCAAUAAAUUUUCCAGCUGCUGGGUUGCUGAUCAUAAACACACAUGCUGCUAUGAGUAUUGCAACGACCAUAACCCUAUUUGUUCCUUUUAGAUUGCUCAUGAUUUGUGUCAAAAUUAAAUGUUUACAGAAUAGCUUAUUAAGUGUUGUGCUAGUUGGUAUGAAGAGGGUUUUUAUAGUGUGUAUUUUUUUUGAAAAACAUAUCUAUCUAUAUAUGUUACUAUUUAAGAAUUUGCUUAUUUGUCAUUUUUUUCAUGAUUUUUAGAUAAAUCAUUAAUUUAAUUAUAUAUUUUUAUUUUGAUAUCUAUAUAUAUUUAUCAUGAUAUCUAAGAUAAUUAAUAAACAUUAACAUAUUCUAACAGUAUAUAUACUAUUAUUUAUAAAUAUAUAUAUACUUGUCAUCUUUUCUAUGAUCUUAGGAUAAAUCACUAAUUUAAUUAAUUUUUUUUUUGAUAUCUAUAUAUAUAUAUAUUUAUCAUAAUAUUUAAGAUAAUUAAUAAACAUUAACAUAUUCUAACAAUAUAUAUACUAUUAUUUAUAUAUAUAUAUAUAUUUAAUAUACUUAUCAUGAUAUUAAAUAAAAUUAAUUUAUAAAUAGAUAUUAACAAUAUCUACCUAUAAUAUCAUCUUUACUUAUAUCUUAUAUUUAGUUUAAAAUUUUAAUUACUAAUAUUACUAAUAUUAUAGCCAAUUUCUAUGAUUUUUAUCAAAAAUAUUGAUCAAAUACAAAUUAUUUGUUUAUUCAGUUUGAUCGCUUAAUAAACCAAUUAAACCUUUAUAUAGUAUAUAAGUAUACUAAUAUAUCUCAAUUAAUCGGUUUUAUUGGUUUAUUCGGUUUGACCGCUUAAUAUAUUGAACCAUAUUCAUAUACUACAGUUUCUUAAAAAUAACAUUCAUUCGGUUUAUUCGGAUCUGAACGUCAAAACGUUACUUUUGUAUAUAAUUAAGGAGUUAUGUAAUGGAAAAUUUACACAUUUUGAAAAAACAAGAUUACAGAUAAAGAGUGGUAUGAGUAAUUACGAUUUAUCGUAUAGUGUUGUACUUGCCAUUUGUUACAUUGCCAAUUGUUAGUUCUUUUUACUCUUAUAAAUGUGUAAAUUUUCCAUUACAUAAGUCCUUAAUUAUAUACAAAAGUACUCUUGUUGGUUAGUCCGUCCGGACUUACGACUAUUGGAUUUAAUUAAGACCAGUAUUAUGAAAUAUCGCAUUCAUUUGAUUCAACAUUAGAAGAUGUUGUUAGAGCGCAAAUUAUAAAACCGUGGACACCACUUGUAUUUUUCUUUCUUCAAAUCAAAUUCAGUCAUCUAAAAUAGUUCAGCGAACGGAGAUCAAGAACCAGAUCCUAGAGCUCUAACUAAAAACUUCAAACUAAAGCUUUAUAAUCUAGACAAAGUACUUAUCUUGACAAUCUGGGUAAAAAAUAUCACUGAGUUGUUUUUCUUACUUCUUCAGACGUUACAUGAAACUAGCUUUUACCAUUAAAAAUGGAUUAAUUGACUACUUUAUUUUGUUCUUGUUAAAAAAAAUUCAAGAGUUCAGGUUAGGAUGGGAAGAUGUUGCGGCGUCAAGGCGAUCAAAGCAAGGCACUCACUAUCCACAUUAUCCAAUAGCUCAUGCAUUUAAUACCUACAGAAGUCACACGGAUGAAACACCGAACAUGAUUUCUCACUGGGGUCCAGCCCACACGAGGGUGCAUCUCUAUCUCUUUUUUUUUUAUCUAGGGUUGAUGUUUUCGGCCAACGUGGACCCGUUUAUUUCCUCGAACACACACCUCUACUCUACAAGAAUAUAUAAACAGUAAGGAUCAACUAGCCAAAUGAAAUUUGGCUUAGCAAUUGACAAAUUAAAACACGGGUAUGGAGUUUAAUUUUUGGAAUGUUUUCCGGUGUUUUCGAGUUAUUUAAAGUAUUUUGUAAUUUAUGGCUUCUUGUCACUGAAAUACUAUUGUGCUAGUUAUGCAAUAAUAUUAGCUUAAUUUAAAUUAACAUGGUUUUCAGUAUACCAUAUAUAUAGGCAUCAGUUUUCUCACAGAAAAAUGCUUAUCGAACGUUUUAUUUAUCUGGGUCUUGACUGAUAAUUAGUGGAAUAAAAAAGUGGAAAUGAAAAUGUGAAAAUGAAAAUGUGAAAAUGAAAAGAAAGAAAACUGUCAAAUGAAACGUAACAUUUUCAUCUAACAAAAAUUGAAGGAACAUUUACCUCUAUUUUUUCACUUUGUUAUAGUAAAUGAGCUGAAAUGUUUCCACUUGAUUGAAUAAAAUCGGAAGAAACAGGCUGAAGUAAAAUUUCACUUACUUUACUUUACACUAAUGAUGUCAUACAGCCAGAAUAAAUGUUUUCUUACAUAUUCCAGAAGAAACAGGUUUUCUUACAUAUUCCAUUAUUUAUUAAUUAGUAGAGUGUAAUGUAACUAAAUCAAGUAACAUAAGUUAAUAAAAAGACCAUUACGUAUAACGAGUCACUAUGUGGAUUCAAAUAUUUCUAUGUUAUUAACAAAAUAAAUGUCAAUUCUAAAAUUAUUUAUAAACAAGCUUAAAAACCAGAAAAUUUGAACGAUACAAAUUAUUGAAGUAUUACGUGUUGUAUGAAUUUCAUCUAUUUAUUUUUCAUUUUUAAUAUUUAUAAUAUUCAUAAGAAAUGGUACGUUGGGAGUAUUUUUUUUGUUUAAUAAAUUUUACUUAUUGCAUAUAUUUAUAUAACCACGUAUAUAUGUAUAUAGUACUUUCCCUCUAGAUCAAGAUGAAGUCAUUGUCAAAUUGACUUUCAAUUUUUAGGUCAGAUUCUUCAAUUGUAAUCAUGCAUGGGCAUGAUGAUGUUUAGCAAUUAACGAUGUUGAUGAUCAUUAUAUGCUUUUAUAAUUUGAAUGAGAAAUUGUUUUAUAAUCAAGCUAAUAUUAUUGUGCCCCUUCUUGAUUGUACUAAUAACCAUAUUUUAACCACCCCCUCCCAAAAAAAAAAAUUGACGACAUGGGUGUAUGACAUGUUUUCGUCAUAUCACAUGGUUGGCCAUUUAAUAUAUAUAUAGCAAAAAUAAACUUGGAAUUUCUAUGUGAUUUUGAAGGCUUUUUUCCUGUUUUCGUAAUCGGGUGUGGUAAAACACGAGUACAUUUUUUGUGUUAACUUAUGUCGAGAGAUUUAAACGUGAUGUGCACAUUUCAAAACCGUUUUAAUCUAAACACUGUAAAGAAACCAUAUAUAAUACCACUAUCACACUACGGUAUUUAAAUGUUUGCGACAAAAUAACGACUGAUGUCUGAUGAGAAACUGAAGUUUUCUUAUCGACUAAUCCCCGAAACAGUGAAGUUUAAAGAGUUUAUAUAUGUUUCCCUAUAAGAUUGUACAAUGUUGUAGAAAUAAAGUGUCUAGCUUUCGUUCUCUCAACCAAUUAAUCGGUUCCAUAGACAUUUCGCCUAGAAACAGAGGUUCCUAAUAUCAUUUGCCGUCAUUUUCUACGUGUUUGUUCUGUAUUUUCAUAAAUGGUCAACUGUCUAGCCUAUUGUACUGUGUAGUUACUCAUGUUUAAUAUAGCACUAGAUUUAUCCCAACAUUAUAUCAUAUCCUAAGCAUCGAUCAGAAGGGAAUGUUUGCUUAUUACAUACAUAGUGCAAGUAAUCUGAAACGGGUAAAUGAAUAUUCACAUUUACAUGAAUAAAUAUACCUUAAUCUCUAGUUUUCCUUUUGACUUCACAGUAGUUAACAAACAAGACAGAAGCACAUGGAGGAACCAUACUACGAAAACGCUAUGGUAGACCAAGACUUUAGUUUAAUAAAUUCCUUAAAUUUUAUUUAUUUCAAUUAUUUUUGUCGGCAUUAUUAUAUCAAAAUUAUUAAUUUACAUUAAAAUAAGGCAAGCAUAUCACUUGUGAAUGGCGGGCCCCAUAAGAAAGACAACGAAUCCAUGGAAUCAAAACACAUGUUUGAAGCUGACAACUUUCCCAUCUAUGGGUCCCAUACUGUCUUAGCUGUCAUUUUAUUCUAAUUUUAAUUUAAAUAGAUAUAAAAAAUCCGACAAAACAACACUCUUUUGUUAAUAUUAUUGGUUUAUCUUUUCUUCUGUAGUUGACAAAAAAAAAUCUUUUCUUCUGUAUUGUUUCAAUAAGUUUGAUUGCAUUUUAUAAACUAAAUGUAUAAUUUAAAACGGAUUAGUUAAAGCACUAAAUGAGAGAAAUACAAAAUAAAAUAAAAACCUAAAAAUAUGGAACAGAAAGAAGAAAAACUGCACCAACUUGGCCUUUGUCCACUGGCUUGGAUUAUUCCGGUAAUGUGACGCCAUUCAUGACAUCAUUAUCUCUCGACAACACUCUUUACGGUCCAACCAAUCCCAGCAUUCACGUGGCAGCAUCUCACCCGUUCAAACAAUAAUCCACAACAAUGAAUUCGAUUAUAUUUUAUACCCACACGAUCCAAUAUUUAGCCCUUUGUUUCAAACACAUCUCACAUCCUUCUGUCUCUCUCUCCUCAAACGUUUUAGUAUUUGAAAGAAUAAAUCAAAAGAACCAAAAAAACCUAGAAACAAGACAAUCUUUGUUCUCAUCUCGUUUUCUGCUCACCUAAUUUAUUACUUAUUGCUAAUCAGUAUCAAGCAAGAUGAUCAAUUUUGAGGCGACGGAGCUGAGGUUAGGGCUGCCGGGUGGCAAUCACGGAGGAGACAUGGCCAUGAAAAAUAAUGGGAAACGAGGAUUUUCUGAGACCGUUGAUCUCAAACUGAAUCUUUCAUCCACGGCUUUGGAUUCGGUUUCCGGAGUUGAUUUAGAGAAUAUGAAGGAGAAGGUCGUAAAACCACCAGCCAAGUACGAAACUAAACUUUUAUCUAUAUUCCUAUUAAUGUGUAUUCACGAUCCUCUAAAGUAGAAGUAGUGAUAUAUAUGAAUGUAUUGAAAUAAUUAGAUUAUCUGUGAACAGAUUAGGAAAUAGAUAACACGAGCCGGUUAUGGGUUAUCUGAGAUAGGCUUUAACACGCUGAAUGAUUACGCUAAUUAGAGCAGCUAUGCAAAUUAUUCUCUAGAGAUCUGUCAUUUUUUUAGUUUUGCUCCAUGUUUUCAACAGUUUUCACAUAAUAUUAUUUAAAUGUGUGAUUAAUAAUAGCCAAUAAUAAAGCUAGGUUGAUGAGUGUAAUGUUUGAAGGUUUGGUCGGGAAGAAUGAAGAAAAAUACAAAACAUAAGGAAUCUUUACUUUAUCUACGUAAACUAAAUUAAUAUUUGGACAACUACAUCCACCUAACAUCCGACACGUGUUAAGCAACUAGAUGAUUUUACAUACUUUUUAUUAAAUACGCUAAUUAAUUUAUUUUUUUGUUCAAAAAUACGCUAAUUAAUAUAAUUGAAAUUAUCAACUAAAAAUAAUUACGGAAUUUCAGGGCACAAGUUGUGGGAUGGCCACCGGUACGAUCUUUCCGGAAGAACGUCAUGUCAGGCCAAAAGCCAACCGCUGGAGAUGCCACCGAAGGAACGGAAAAGACUUCCAGCAGCAACGGAGCCACCUCCUCUGCCGCAGCUUACGUGAAGGUUAGCAUGGACGGCGCACCGUACCUAAGAAAAAUUGAUUUGAAACUUUACAAAACAUAUCAAGACCUCUCCGACGCCUUAAGCAAAAUGUUCAGCUCUUUUACCCUAGGUAAAUAUAAAAGACGACAAUAUCUAUAUUAAAAACUUAAACUCGUUAUUUAAUUUUUUUUAUAAAAAAUUCAGGCAACUAUGGACCACAAGGAAUGAAAGAUUUUAUGAACGAGAGUAGGUUGAUCGAUCUUUUGAACGGAUCAGAUUACGUUCCAACUUAUGAAGAUAAAGAUGGAGACUGGAUGCUUGUAGGAGACGUACCGUGGGGGUGAGUGUUAUUAUAUAUAAGCUAAUAAGCAUAUAUUAUAUGUUUACAUAAUUUAGUAUUUUUUUGUUGCAACUAAACACAUAUAUUUGCUUACGUUUCAUUUGUAUUAUUUUUUUAGGAUGUUUGUUGAUUCAUGCAAACGCAUAAGAAUAAUGAAGGGAUCAGAAGCAAUCGGACUUGGUUAGUAUUUUCAAUCCAGAAUUUACUGUGCACUCUUAAGAUUAUGUGCACUUUUGUUAAUACUAUUAUCAAUUGACUGCAGCUCCAAGGGCAUUAGAAAAGUGCAAGAACAGAAGCUGAGAGCUCUAAGAAAAUGACCGGUUCGAUCCGGUUGGAUAUCUCAAACCGAGAAAAGCCAAACCGGCUCGAAACUACUGUUACGAGCAGGGAGUUUGCGUAUAAUAUUCAUAAAUAAUAAUUAAUAUUGUGGUGUAUUACAUUUUAUAAACUCAAACCCUUUUUGUUAUAUGUAUAAUAUUAUAUACAUAUAUGAAUAUGUAUAUUAGGUGGCAUCUAUGUAUUUCCGCUUUGAACACCUUUUGUUUUUACGCAUUAUUGUAUUGUCUAUAUGGUUACGUAUCCGUAAGACAUCUUAAUGUGUUACUUUGACGUGACAAAGUAUCAUUCACGUUUAGUGUAUUACAUUACUAUUUUUCAUUUCAGCGGAUCGUUAAAUGACUUGAAAAUGUUAAUGGUCGUAAACCGAUAAAUUAAAUUUAAUAAUUUCUUCAAUCAUUUUCGUAUGUAUUUCCUAAUUCCUAUUGGUGUUCUUGAGUAUUACAUAUAUCAUUUUUGGUCUUUCUUCGUUGAACCACAUAUGAAAACUUUAAAUAGAUCAAGGUGAUGUGCGAUAGUGGACUGUGCAAGAGCAUGUGCAUAAUCCGAUAAUGUAGAGUUGUUGGGGGACAAUAUAUUAAUGAAUCACAAAUAAAAUUAACAAUGUCUUUAAUAUGCAUGCUCCAUUAUUGAUGAUGUACGCUGUCAUCCAUCGCUUAAAAAAACAAUAGGUGACAACGAUGAUAUUUGUUUUAUCUAUUUCUUGUUAAUUUAUCUUACUCUGGAUUAAUACACCAAGAACAAAUAGUAAUUUAGUUGUAAAACUAACCUAACCACAUAUAUAUAUCUGUACAAUUAGCCAACAAAAAAAGUUUUCCCGAAUAGCUGUUUCAAAAUAUAUAGCUGCUUACAGACAAAAGAAUAACUGAAAAUUAACAAAGAGAACUAGAUUCCGAUCCACCAUUUUUAAGGAUGGAUAUAUCUUUUGUUUUACACAAUUUAGAAAUUUAAUUUUUUAUAAUUUAAUUUAAUCAUAUUUGUAUUUUUUUUUGUAUAAUAUUUUUUUUAAAUAAUUAAUAAGAGAUUUUAAUAAUUAUAUUAAAAUAGUUGAAAUACACAUAUAUUGCUGUUUUAAUAGAAUAGAUUAGAUUACAUCCGCUAUAUAUUGCUGUUUUAAUAGAAUAGAUUAGGUUACAUCAAGCGGAGUAGAAAAAAAAAAUCAAGGUUUUGCUAUAAAGUUGAAUUGAGAUCAAUAUUGAUAGAUCGAGCAUAUUCCUAUAAUGAUACCAAGUACGAACCAAGGCAAGCACCGUUACAUAUGCUUCACUCAAGAAGAAAGGAGAUUAGGUUAAACUAUGAAUUGAAUAUGAAUAGAAAAGCAGAGAUAACUCUUUUAAUGUAUAUGCAUGCAAUAUCAUAGUUUAAACCAUUGCGGUAAACAUGGAUAAUUCUUUUAAUUUGGCAGAUCUGGAUUGUAGGUACAAAUAUUUUACUGAAUUUUUAUUUAAAAUGAUAAGGCUCUUGUAUACAUUUAUAGAGAGAGAGAGAUGCAUUAGACCACCAACAAAAAACUUAUCGAUCAUGAAGACCGGACUUAGCAUAACCAUCAUACUGUUAUCAUACACGGUGGCUGGUACGGACUUCCAAGCCGGAAGUCAGACUUGGGAAGCGGGGCUAGGGUCCAAGGAGCUAGUGCGUUGAACAUACGCGCCACCUACCAUUUCUAUAACCCUGAGCAGAAUAACUGGGAUCUGAUGGCCGUGACUCGUGAGUGCUUAUUGCUCCACGUGGGAUGCUGAUAAAACCAUACGCGUGGCAGUGUAGGUAUGGCUGGACCGCCUUCUGCACACCGGUUGGUCCUCAGGGUCAUGAUUCUUGCGGCAAUGCUUGAGGGUAUACGAUUAUGAUUUUGUAUAUAUUCUUUUUACUAGGGUAUGCGUUAUAUAUUUAUAACAAAAUGAUUUUAGUUAUAAAUAUCACAAACAAAACUGCAAUAGAUAAUUUAAUAUUGAAAUUUGCUUGUCAAUAUAUAUUUUUUCUUUUGAAAAUCAUAUGUAUUUUUAUAAAAAUUCAACCUGUCCCCCUUGUAUAUUAGAUAAUAUAUACGAAAGCUUAAUGACAUCAAUGUUAGUGUGUUAGUGAAUUUGAAGGUAUCAUAUAUAAGCCGGAGUUUUACUGUAACUAAUCAAAGCCGGAUUUUUUAAAGGUAAUCAUAGACUGGUUUUAAACAACCGGUGUGAUGAACUUUUGGUUCUAACUUGAUGGAGGUGAGGAACGUCAUGACGAAUGCAGUAGUAACGGUGAGAAUAGUGGACCUUUACAAAAGAUUGGAUAACGAUGGUGUUGGCUAUGAGCAAGGUCAACUCAUUGUUGACUAUGAAUUUGUUGACUGUGACGAUGAACUAAUUAAUCAGCCUGGUCAUUCUUAAAACAUCCUUGUUUCGGCCAUUGAUCGCGUUUGAUAUUAAUCGUUUUAGAGGUCAAGAUCUAUCUACACUAUAUAAUAAAAAGGCCUAUGUUGUGUUGUUCUUGGUGGUUUUCAAGAUAUUUGGCUCAAAAGAUCAAAAGAAUUUCUCACUUUUUUAUUACACAAUCCAAGACCAUAUCAAAAUCUUUUUGGUAUAUACAGUUUAUGAACAAGAAAGGCUUUAUUGUUUCUUAUCUUUUGUUCUCUUUACACAAAGUAUAUACACAGCCAUAAAGUGAUUCUCUUACUUCCCAUCCUUUAAAAGAAAAUCUUACAAUCACAUAUACACUUAUCAAUAUGUCUGCAUCACAGAACAUGCAACUGCUUGUGCCCAAUGUCUCAAUCUCUGCUUCACUUGUUGCGGAUUGUCCCCUAACAAAAAACAUCCAAAAAAACUAACACUCAGUUUCAUGACUUUCAUCAUAAAUGUUUAGCUCUCUUUUUUUACCUGGACACACGAUCUUUAAUGAAUCUGAAUCAGUUUUCUUCGGGCUACAUGGUAUAUUCAUCGAGAAAGCUGAUGCAGAUGCGCUGCUGCUACGGCUACUGCUAGGUGAAGCCAGAGGUGAGAGGUGACGAUUCACUGCAAAGUAAAGAUCAAGAGCUGGUAAUGUAUUGCAAAGCUUUUGUCCUGCUUCUUCAUUGAAACCAAAACCUAGCUCAAUGGAUCCUUUAAGCUCGUUUAAAUCCUCAUCGGUUAGUUUCUUCUGUUCACUAAGAUUGUCUGAAACGCGCAUCUUCUUCUCUUGAAUCAUUAUCAUCUGACGUUUUCUUCUUUCCCAAGCAAUGUCUCUUGGUGACUCACACAUAGAUAGUUGUUUUGUUAACCGUUGUUUUGGUUUCUGUGAGGCUAAAGGCGUUGUUGCCGCCGUUUUGACCUCUCGAAGCGCCGGUGUUGAGACCGAAAAUGUAAGGUUUUCUCUUAUUCUCACCAUCUUUUAUAUAUAUCACUUGACGUGUAUAUCAAGCUAAUAUGUUAUGAGAUGUGGCUUGUGAAUGCAAACUAGGGUUCUUCUUUCUUGGUUCUUGUGGGUUUUGUUUAAUGUAUGUUCUUUGUGAGAUG
RNAcentral lists this long non-coding RNA (19891 nucleotides) under Brassica napus (rape). RNAcentral describes it as "long non-coding RNA (BNAP_LNC004722)". Lineage: Eukaryota; Viridiplantae; Streptophyta; Magnoliopsida; Brassicales; Brassicaceae. The record is from RNAcentral.